Molecule: transfer RNA, 74 nt
Filed under: Cordylochernes scorpioides
Lineage: Eukaryota; Metazoa; Arthropoda; Arachnida; Pseudoscorpiones; Chernetidae
Description: tRNA-Thr
Source: RNAcentral
UGUCCAGAAUAGGAAACAAACCCACAGUGUUCCGCUUACUGGGCAGAUGCCAUGUCCACUAGGUUACCCUGGAC